This 497-nucleotide ribosomal RNA is filed under the name uncultured bacterium. RNAcentral's name for it is "partial 16S ribosomal RNA". It matches the Rfam family "Bacterial small subunit ribosomal RNA", at positions 28 to 507 of the family's 1533-position model. The record is from RNAcentral.
GAUGAACGCUGGCGGCGUGCCUAAUACAUGCAAGUCGAGCGAACGGACGAGAAGCUAGCUUCUCUGCUGUUAGCGGCGGACGGGUGAGUCACACGUGGAUAACCUACCUAUAAGACUGAGCAAACUGCGGGUAACCGCAGCUCCUACCGGAUAAUAUUUUCAACCUAGCGGUGCAAAAGUGAAAGACGCUCUUGCUGUCACUUAUAGAUGGUUCUGCGCUGCAUUAGCUAGUUGGUAAGGUAACGGCUUAUCAAGGCAACGAUGCAUAGCCGACCUGAGAGGGUGAUCGACCACACUGGAGCGGGGGGACGGCCCCAAGUGCUACGAGAGGCAGCAGUAAGGAAUACGCCGCGAUGGGGGGAAGCAUGACGGACCAAGGGCGCAUGCGUGACGCAGGUCUUCUGAGCGUAAGACUCUGUUAUUCGGGAUGAACAUAUGUGUAAGUAACUAUGCACAACUUGACGGUACCUAAACAAGAAGCCACGGCUAACUACGUG